CUGAUCAAGUGUUGGAGGAUCCAAUGCAAGAGGCAAAAGCAAAUUAUCAACUUGAACAUAAUGAUAGAGACUUGACAUCUAAAUAAGGACUUGCAAGCUUCUAAAAGCCAUAGGCCUUCUCAGGUAUUCAACAAGCUUUGGAACAUCCUGUCUACUAAGACAUCGCACUGGGCACCACAAGACUCGGCAGCCUAUUGCUUUCCAAAAUAAUUUGAACCACCUGUAAACUUCUCACAAAGCUUAAGAUUUUCUGUGCCCAUUUGAGCUUUCUUCAUUUCUUCCGUGGUUCAAAUUAUUUUGGAA
This 303-nucleotide unclassified non-coding RNA is filed under the name Hevea brasiliensis (rubber tree). The record is from RNAcentral. Lineage: Eukaryota; Viridiplantae; Streptophyta; Magnoliopsida; Malpighiales; Euphorbiaceae.